CUCCCCGCGGGUUCCGUUGGCUGUGGCGGCAGCUGACGCUUGUGGCGGCGGUGGCUUCGGGGUGGGCGUAAGAUGGCGACAGCAGCGCAGGGACCCCUAAGCUUGCUGUGGGGCUGGCUGUGGAGCGAGCGCUUCUGGCUACCCGAGAACGUGAGCUGGGCUGAUCUGGAGGGGCCGGCCGACGGCUACGGUUACCCCCGCGGCCGGCACAUCCUCUCGGUGUUCCCGCUGGCGGCGGGCAUCUUCUUCGUGAGGCUGCUCUUCGAGCGAUUCUGAUUUUGCAAGUCUGAGAUGGGCUCAAGAUUAUGCAUCUCUAAAAAGCUUCCAGCCAGCACAGUGGCCCACGCCUGUAAUCCCAGCAUUUUGGGAGACUGAGGCUGGUGAACAUUGUCACCCUAAAGAAGUGAUAAAUGUUGAAAGUGAUGGAUAUGAUUUAUUGCCAAACCCUGUGCACUCUGUAUUGGCAUCGAGGACAGUGGUCCUUAUCAGGCCCAACCCAAUGCCAUCCUUGAAAAGGUGUUCAUAUCUAUUACCAAGUAUCCUGAUAAGAAAAGGCUGGAGGGCCUGUCAAAGCAGCUGGAUUGGAAUGUCCGAAAAAUCCAAUGCUGGUUUCGCCAUCGGAGGAAUCAGGACAAGCCCCCAACGCUUACUAAAUUCUGUGAAAGCAUGUGGAGAUUCACAUUUUAUUUAUGUAUAUUCUGCUAUGGAAUUAGAUUUCUCUGGUCGUCACCUUGGUUCUGGGACAUCCGACAGUGCUGGCAUAACUAUCCAUUUCAGCCUCUUUCAAGUGGGCUUUAUCACUAUUAUAUCAUGGAAUUGGCCUUCUAUUGGUCCCUUAUGUUUUCUCAGUUUACAGACAUUAAAAGAAAGGACUUCCUGAUCAUGUUUGUGCAUCACUUGGUCACCAUUGGGCUUAUCUCCUUCUCCUACAUCAACAAUAUGGUUCGAGUGGGAACUCUGAUCAUGUGUCUACAUGAUGUCUCAGACUUCUUGCUGGAGGCAGCCAAACUGGCCAAUUAUGCCAAGUAUCAGCGGCUCUGUGACACCCUUUUUGUGAUCUUCAGUGCUGUUUUUAUGGUUACACGACUAGGAAUCUAUCCAUUCUGGAUUCUGAACACGACCCUCUUUGAGAGUUGGGAGAUAAUCGGGCCUUAUGCUUCAUGGUGGCUCCUCAAUGGCCUGCUGCUGACCCUACAGCUUCUGCAUGUCAUCUGGUCCUACCUAAUUGCACGGAUUGCUUUGAAAGCCUUGAUCAGGGGAAAGAUGGAAUCUCGCUCUGUUGCCCAGGCUGGAGUGCAAUGUCACGAUCUUGGCUCACCACAACCUCCACCUCCUGGGUUCAAGCGAUUCUCCUGCCUCAGCCUCCCUAGUAGCUGGGAUUACAGGCGCAUGCCACCAGGCCUGGCUAAUUUUUGUAUUCUUAGUAGAAACGGGGUUUCACUAUGUUGGCCAGGCUGGUCUCUAACUCCCGACCUUGUGAUCUGCCCACCUUGGCCUCCCGAAGUGCUGGGAUUACAGGCGUGAGCCACCGCACCUGGCCUGCCUGUUUUACCUUUUAAGAUGUGACUUAGACGCAAGAGGAAAGUUCUACCUUCUUCCUGUCCCUUAGGAAUGGCUUUUGUUAAAGGAUGAUAGGGUUAAGAGUUUUUUAAGAGAUGGCCUCAACCAUUUCCUACCCCUUACCUACCUGCUUCAGUGGAUUUCAUAUUUUUCUUUUUGACAUGGGGCCCUUUUCAAAGGAAAUCAUAUGCAGAACCAUAUAAACUGUAUAAAAGCAGAUUGUUAAGUUGCCUAGAAGUGGUGUGUGGUAGUUCACAAGCCACCACAAGGUGACCAUGCUGUGAUAUUCAAGAUAUGGUUUAUAUAAGGAACUAAAUACCCACCUCACCCCACUAGUGUAUGAGGCAAGUGUCCUAAGUGAAUGGGUAUGUAGUGUUUCAAAUACCCAUCUUAUGCCAAGAGCGAAAGAAAGGUGCCACUUAAUGAUAAACUCAUAAUUGAACUUUGCAAGUUUUGAAGCAGUCAGACUGUAGUCAAAGGGCUAGGGAUUUCAGCCUAAAGGAAUACAGAAUCCCAAGUGGGAGGGGCUCUGCUUGAGCAGGUACUGAUACUAGGACCAAGUGAUGGAAUGUGGCCUAGAUAUUGAUGAUCUCCUGCAUCAUUAUUCCUUAUAGCUGCCAUUGGCUCAGAACUUGCUCAGUGUGCCUGUGCAUCUUGCUGUAGCUACUGGACAUCUCUGUUCUCUCCUGCUUUUCUUUCCUGACUAGGUGACCUGUCCAGGAAGGAUUAGACCCUGUACUCUCCACUCUUUCCUCACCUCCUUCCUUUUUUCUAUGCCUGGCGGGAGCUGGACAGUUUCAUCUCUUGCAUGUAUCGAAGGAUGAUCGCAGUGAUGUGGAGAGCAGCUCAGAGGAAGAAGAUGUGACCACCUGCACAAAAAGUCCCUGUGACAGUAGCUCCAGCAAUGGUGCCAAUCGGGUGAAUGGUCACAUGGGAGGCAGCUACUGGGCUGAAGAGUAAGGUGGUUGCUAUAGGGACUUCAGCACACAUGGACUUGUAGGGCCACUGGCAACAUACUCCUCUUGGCCCUUCCCAUAUCUACUCUUCUGUGAUUGGGAGACUGCAAGGCACUGAGGAGUAUCAAAGAAGCAAAUAUUUUCACUUUGAAAGAAAACUGCCAUUUUGUAUUUAAUAGCCUCCAGGUUCUUUCAGUAAUGUUAUUUGCUCUGUGUGUUUUUGUGUGUUUGUUGAUGUGCGUUUGUGCAUAUGCGUGAGUUUCAUUGCCGGGGUUGGGGCACAAUUGUGGACUGGGGCCAUGAGGCCUUCCCUGGUCCCCACUGAACCCACCUUAGUUCCACAUUUGGCUGCAUCUUGAAUUAUGCCAACUCCAGACUUCUCCUUCUUUUUUGCCCUUGGCUCUUGACACUCUAAACCCCUGGACCAUCUGAAUGGAGCAGCCAAGUUCAGUCCCACAUUUCUGUACUGUUCCUCUUUCACAGCUGGAAUAUGUCACAUGAUGAAGUUGUAUAGAAACAGAACCAUGGAUGGAUGGCCAGGAUUGCCGUGGUCCCUAGCUAGAUCCCCUUCCUAUCAAUCACCUGAUAGCAACAGGGACAGCUGCCAAUACCCUGCUCUUUACUCAAUGGUACCCAGGGAGGGAGCAUGGGAAGAGGGUGAGCUGAGGGCUGGAGGAGGGCAACAGCCACUGGGUGAGCUGUUCACGGUCUUAUACUAUUGUUUGUUUGUGAUUAAAAGUGCUUCAACCCACCUCUACUGUCUCAACCUCUUCAGUGACUCUAUCCGCAGUUUCCUGAAUCCAUAAGCUAAUUAAGAGCUUUUCCAGGUCUGAUUCAGAAGGCCCUGGACACCAAAUUUUUCCUUUCUGUGCAUGGUAGGAAGAGUCAGCCAGGGUGCUUACAUUUUAGAGCUUUAUGUUUUUUAAGAAAAAGAAGAAUCACUUGAACCUGGGAGGCAGAGGUUGCAGCGAGCCAAGAUCGUGCCACUGCACUCCAGCCUGGGCGACAGACCGAGACUCUGUCUAAAAAAAAAAAAAAAAAAAAAAAUUAGGUCAUACUUUUAGUUCCUCAACUUGCUAUAUUGAAUAGACUAAUAUUGUUGUGAAAUAUGAAUGAAUAUGCUUUUGAAAGUCAGAUGAGAAAUGUAUUUUGCCUUCUGAAAUUUGAACAAUUGCCUUGUUAAUACAAACUGGAUUGGUUGGUGUAGCUAAUCUGACAAAAGAUGCAAUUGGAUAAAACAAUAAUAAAAAUAAUAACUAA
This is an RNA transcript of Homo sapiens (human), 3776 nucleotides long. It is a transcript of the gene named ceramide synthase 5, with no coding region annotated. The transcript has 12 exons. NCBI's taxonomy places the organism in Eukaryota, Metazoa, Chordata, Mammalia, Primates, Hominidae. The record is from RefSeq and is marked reviewed.